Molecule: ribosomal RNA, 464 nt
Filed under: uncultured bacterium
Lineage: Bacteria
Description: partial 16S ribosomal RNA
Rfam family: Bacterial small subunit ribosomal RNA
Source: RNAcentral
CCUACGGGUGGCAGCAGUGGGGAAUCUUGCGCAAUGGGCGAAAGCCUGACCGAGCAACGCCGCGUGAUCGAAUGAAGGCCUACGGGUUGUAAAGAUCUGUUGACAGGGACGAAUAAGCCAUGCGAAUAGUUUGGUGUAUGACGGUACCUGUUUAGAAUGCGCCGGCUAACUACGUGCCAGCAGCCGAGGAAAUACGUAGGGAGCAAGCGUUGUCCGGAUUUACUGGGGGUAAAGGGCGCGUAGGUGGGUGCUUAAGUCAGGUGUGAAAAGUCUGGGCUCAACCUGGGGACUGCACUUGAUACUGGGGAUCUUGAGGGCAGGAGAGGAAGGUGGAAUGGCUAGUGUAGCGGUGAAAUGCGUAGAGAUUAGGAGGAACACCAGUGGCGAAGGCGGCUUUCUGGACUGUACCUGACGCUGAGGCGCGAAAGCGUGGGUAGCGAACGGGAUUAGAUACCCUAGUAGUC